Molecule: ribosomal RNA, 468 nt
Filed under: uncultured bacterium
Lineage: Bacteria
Description: partial 16S ribosomal RNA
Rfam family: Bacterial small subunit ribosomal RNA
Source: RNAcentral
GACGAACGCUGGCGGCGUGCUUAACACAUGCAAGUCGAACGGAAAGGCCCUGCUUUUGUGGGGUGCUCGAGUGGCGAACGGGUGAGUAACACGUGAGUAACCUGCCCUUGACUUUGGGAUAACUUCAGGAAACUGGGGCUAAUACCGGAUAGGAGCUCCUGCUGCAUGGUGGGGGUUGGAAAGUUUCGGCGGUUGGGGAUGGACUCGCGGCUUAUCAGCUUGUUGGUGGGGUAGUGGCUUACCAAGGCUUUGACGGGUAGCCGGCCUGAGAGGGUGACCGGCCACAUUGGGACUGGAAUCCGCCCCCACCUCCUCCGGGAGGCGGAGGUGGGGAUUAUUGCACAAUGGGCGGAGGCCUAAUGCGGCACCGCCGCGUGCGGGAUGACGGCCUUCGGGUUGUAAACCGCUUUCGCCUGUGACGAAGCGUGAGUGACGGUAAUGGGUAAAGAAGCACCGGCUAACUACGUG